This 1475-nucleotide unclassified non-coding RNA is filed under the name Hevea brasiliensis (rubber tree). Lineage: Eukaryota; Viridiplantae; Streptophyta; Magnoliopsida; Malpighiales; Euphorbiaceae. The record is from RNAcentral.
AAAAAAACGAAAAAAAAAGAGGACCAAACAGGCCGCCAGCUGGGCCGUUCUGCGGGAAUAGAGAAGUGAAGCGAAGAAGCGAUUUGGAGCUCUUUCAUUAAGCUGGUAAACGAGAUUCCGAGGAAUCAGCGAAAUCCUGACUGCAGAAGGGCUGCGAACGGAGGUAGAACAAUUGCUUCAAUACUGUUUUUCUUGUUACUAUCGCUUUCAUUGAUCUCCCUUGCUUACAGGCCUCGAGACAUCGUUCCCAUGAGCGAGAUGGGUCAAUACCACGCUGUCAGUACUCUAUUUCCCUUCACAUUCUCUUUCUCUAUGUUCUAACAUCUCAUAUUCACGCUCCCAUAAUUCGGCUCUAGUGAUUUAUUUCAAUUCAUGUCGCUAAGGUUCUAUUUGAUAUAUGAUUUCAGUCGAGAACUCUCUGGCAAGACGUGAUCGGUAAACAUUGCCCUGUAUUUGCUGUUAAUCGCGAGGUAUCUCUAUUUCAAUUUCUCAAUUAUCCUUUCAUCUCUAUUUUUUUCUUUUGGGCCGGAGUGGGGGUUGCUGGGUGUUUUGAAUUGUGUUCAUUUUUUGGGUGUAUGAUGUGUAGGUGUUGAUCCCGAUACCAAAACCGGCAGAUUAUACGGGUACUGAUCCAGACAAAAUGUAAAAAAUAUGUUCCUUUGAUGUUAUUAUUUAGAAAUUCUGACUUUGAAAUAUCGUUUGUUGGUAAUUUUGGUAAGCAAGAACCCUGUUGAUAUCAUCGAAAUUAGUUCCACUGUGUUUUAACUUUUAAAUCUAUAUUAUAACUUAGCUCAAUUCAACAAGUAAGCUUGUUAUCAAAUGAAUUACUUUGGAUGUGAAUCUAUUGGGGGAAAUUAUUUGUUGGUGCAGCUUUAUAGUUUGAUAUGGAACUUCAAAAUUAAAAAAACUAUGUUUUCACUUUUCUAAUGCUUGCAUUCUCAUCUGAAUCUCUAUUUUCAUUUUCAGAUGAUAGGUGUAAGGCUUAUGUUAACUGUAUGUUUUAAAAUUUGAUGUUUGCUUUUGGAUUAGGUUGCCCUUCAAUUUCAAUUUGUUAUUAGUUGGGGAUUUAAAUGGUAAACUACUUUUUCACAUUUUUAUUUGUUAAUUUGUAAAGCAAUCCAUUUUCUCAAAAUCAUUUUUAUUUGCAGAUAGUUUCAAGUUGGAAGAGAAAAGUUUCUAAUUUCAUGGCUGUUUUUGAUAAACCACAAAAAUUCUGAGGUUCCGUUGAUUGAUGUGCAUUUGGUAAGGUUUGCAUUUUCUUGAUGCAGUUGUUCUUUUUCAAAUUUAUCAUGAUUGCUGGAUCUUCUUGGGUCAUGCAACUGUGUAGAAUUACAUGCUUCUACAAAGUGCAAUUUUAUUGUUUUGGUCAUUUUUACCUCACCGUCAUCAGUGCAUUUGUAGGACACUAGGUUGUAUUUUGAUAUUUUUUAAUUAACUUUUAUUUUCUCGUGUGUAAUUAAGACUUAUGUAAUGCA